UACGGAGGGUGCUAGCGUUGUUCGGAAUCACUGGGCGUAAAGGGCGUGUAGGCGGUCUGUUAAGUCUGAUGUGAAAUCCCCGGGCUCAACCUGGGAAUGGCGAUGGAGACUGCAAGGCUAGAAUCUGGCAGAGGGGGGUAGAAUUCCACGUGUAGCAGUGAAAUGCGUAGAUAUGUGGAGGAACACCGAUGGCGAAGGCAGCCCCCUGGGCUAAGAUUGACGCUCAUGCACGAAAGCGUGGGGAGCAAACAGG
Molecule: ribosomal RNA, 253 nt
Filed under: uncultured bacterium
Lineage: Bacteria
Description: partial 16S ribosomal RNA
Rfam family: Bacterial small subunit ribosomal RNA
Source: RNAcentral